Molecule: unclassified non-coding RNA, 388 nt
Filed under: Stictocardia tiliifolia
Lineage: Eukaryota; Viridiplantae; Streptophyta; Magnoliopsida; Solanales; Convolvulaceae
Description: Ipomoea tiliifolia partial miscellaneous RNA
Source: RNAcentral
UGGAUAAGGACUCGGUCUUAGUGUAUAGGAGUUUUUGAAAAUAAGGGAGCAAUAACCANCUUUCUUGUUCUAAACAAGAUGGGGUAUUGCUCCUUUAUUUCUAUUUAUUUUUUUAUUCAAUUUUCGAAUCAAAAAAUUUAGGUUUUUCUUUGGAAAUUAAGUUAAAAUAAGGUAAAGAAGAUAAUAUUGAAUUGAAUUAUUCAUAUUGAAUCUAAUUUUAUUUCAAAUUUGAAUAAAAUUAAAAAAAAAAAAAUAGUCUAAUUAAAAUUCAAUUUUAUAAAAUAUAAAGAAUUCUAAUUUAUACAAUAAAAUAGAUAAAUAUAUGUAAUUUCGAAUUAGUAAUUACAAAAAAAAAGAAAAUGAAAAAAUAGAACAUAGUCGGGGGGCG